This 443-nucleotide long non-coding RNA is filed under the name Olea europaea (common olive). RNAcentral describes it as "long non-coding RNA (OEUR_LNC002714)". The record is from RNAcentral. Lineage: Eukaryota; Viridiplantae; Streptophyta; Magnoliopsida; Lamiales; Oleaceae.
UAACUUCUUCGUGAAUUUGUUUACGUUUCAUGUUUAGUCUUCUGAUCAUCGUAUAGAAAUCUCAAAUCUCUCGUUGGGUGGCAACUUUCGGAGUUUUUUCUUGAAACCCUAUAUUCUUUUCAAAGCAACUAAUAAAUGAAAUGGGUGUUUAUGAAUUAUGAAAAGCAAAGAGUACCGAUGUAGCUUUUCAUCUUGCUAAUUUAAAGAAAGUUCCAAGCGUUGUACUUUCCUCUUUCCUCUUUUGUCUUUAUUCUUGUAAUAUCUUGGAACCACUGCUACAAUGAUUAAUUAUUAAUUCCGCUGUUUGAUCAGUAUUUAGAAAUUGAGGAAGCUACGGAUUUUUCGACAUGCCCACCUGGUGAUUCCUUCAAUGUUGUGAGUUGUGUACCCCAGAAUGAACACAUCAGUAUUGAGCUCCGAAGGAAAAAAGUUGCCGAGAUUGU